Molecule: transfer RNA, 65 nt
Filed under: Thomasclavelia ramosa
Lineage: Bacteria; Bacillati; Bacillota; Erysipelotrichia; Erysipelotrichales; Coprobacillaceae
Also listed under: 12 other names
Rfam family: tRNA
About the family: Transfer RNA (tRNA) molecules are approximately 80 nucleotides in length. Their secondary structure includes four short double-helical elements and three loops (D, anti-codon, and T loops).
Source: RNAcentral
CCGUAGCUCAGUCGGUAGAGCAGAGGACUGAAAAUCCUCGUGUCGCUGGUUCGAUUCCGGCCGGA